RNAcentral lists this ribosomal RNA (470 nucleotides) under uncultured bacterium. Its description in RNAcentral is "partial 16S ribosomal RNA". It matches the Rfam family "Bacterial small subunit ribosomal RNA", at positions 28 to 507 of the family's 1533-position model. The record is from RNAcentral.
GACGAACGCUGGCGGCGUGCUUAACACAUGCAAGUCGAACGGUGAACGAGGAAGCUUGCUCCCUCCGGGUCAGUGGCGAACGGGUGAGUAACACGUGCGCAAGCUGCCCCGAACUCGUGGAUAAGCGUGGGAAACGACUUCUAAUACCGGAUACGACGCGGGAGGGCAUCCUCUCCGCGUGCAAAGGACUUCGGUUCGGGAUGGGCGCGCGGCCCAUCUGCUGGUUGGUGAGGUAACGGCUCACCAAGGCGCCGACGGGUGGCCGGCAUUGGAGGGUGAACGGCGACCAUGGGACUGAGACACGGACCAGAGUCGUACGGGAGGCAGCAGUGGGGAGUCUUGCACAAUGGGCGCACGCCUGAUGCAGCAACGCUGGGUGAGUGAAGCCGGCUUUCGGGGUGUGAACCUCUUUUAGCAGAGAAGCAGCGAAAGUGACGGUACCUGCAGAAAAAGCACCGGCUAACUACGUG